GGACGAAACUCUGGAGAGACUCAUUUAAUUAUGAGCACCGAAGGAGCAAGGUAACUAUAGUAAUUUAAUAUGGUUUCUAAAGUGAAUUAUUUUCAGAAACCUUGAAAUAAACUAUUUAAAGUUACUGAAACUCUCAGGUAAAAGGACAGGGGAUAGGAU
Molecule: non-coding RNA, 159 nt
Filed under: Clostridium chromiireducens
Lineage: Bacteria; Bacillati; Bacillota; Clostridia; Eubacteriales; Clostridiaceae
Description: Glycine sequence
Rfam family: Glycine riboswitch aptamer
About the family: This family represents the bacterial glycine riboswitch.
Source: RNAcentral